UACAGAGGUCCCUAGCGUUGUUCGGAUUCACUGGGCGUAAAGGGUGCGUAGGCGGUCGGGUAAGUCUGAUGUGAAAUCUCACAGCUUAACUGUGAAACUGCAUUGGAUACUAUCCGGCUCGAGGAAUGGAGGGGAGACUGGAAUUCUCGGUGUAGCAGUGAAAUGCGUAGAUAUCGAGAGGAACACCAGUGGCGAAGGCGAGUCCCUGGACAGGUCCUGACGCUGAGGCACGAAAGCUAGGGGAGCAAACAGG
RNAcentral lists this ribosomal RNA (253 nucleotides) under uncultured bacterium. RNAcentral describes it as "partial 16S ribosomal RNA". It matches the Rfam family "Bacterial small subunit ribosomal RNA", at positions 524 to 776 of the family's 1533-position model. The record is from RNAcentral.